This is a long non-coding RNA of Cydia splendana, 209 nucleotides long. RefSeq lists it as uncharacterized. The transcript is spliced from 2 exons. Lineage: Eukaryota; Metazoa; Arthropoda; Insecta; Lepidoptera; Tortricidae. The record is from RefSeq and is a predicted model, not a curated record.
ACGAUAAGCAGUGCAUAAAAGUCGCCAUGUACAGUGGUUUAAUAAUAAAAUUGAUAGUAUUCAUGAUUUUCGCUCAAAUGUUGUUAGCUCAAAAGGUAGACUACCCAGAUUUGAGAUACGACCUACCGUCCACCAACGAGGACACUGGGGAGGAAUAGAAGACAUGCAAAACCUCAUACAUACAUACAUAAUAUAUUAGUGUAAUUUUA